Pelobates cultripes (western spadefoot toad) is the source of this 409-nucleotide non-coding RNA. The record is from the annotation of a GenBank genome assembly. NCBI's taxonomy places the organism in Eukaryota, Metazoa, Chordata, Amphibia, Anura, Pelobatidae.
CGCUAACCGGCAAUGCUCUCUGCUAUUCCUCUACUGCUUCAUUACACCGCUAACCGGCAAUGCUCUCUGCUAUUCCUGUACUGCUUCACUACACCGCUAAUCAGCAAUGCUGUCUGCUAUUCCUCUACUGCUUCACUACACCGCUAACCAGCAAUGCUCUCUGCUAUUCCUCUACUGCUUCACUACACCGCUAACCAGCAAUGCUCUCUGCUAUUCCUCUACUGCUUCACUACACCGCUAACCAGCAAUGCUCUCUGCUAUUCCUCUACUGCUUCACUACACCGCUAACCAGCAAUGCUCUCUGCUAUUCCUCUACUGCUUCACUACACCGCUAACCAGCAAUGCUCUCUGCUAUUACUCUACUGCUUCACUACACCGUUAACCAGCAAUGCUCUCUGCUAUUCCUCUA